This 433-nucleotide ribosomal RNA is filed under the name uncultured bacterium. RNAcentral describes it as "partial 16S ribosomal RNA". It matches the Rfam family "Bacterial small subunit ribosomal RNA", at positions 28 to 507 of the family's 1533-position model. The record is from RNAcentral.
AGCGAACGCUGGCGGCAGGCUUAACACAUGCAAGUCGAGCGGGCCCUUCGGGGUCAGCGGCAGACGGGUGAGUAACGCGUGGGAACGUGCCCUUCGGUUCGGAAUAACUCAGGGAAACUUGAGCUAAUACCGGAUACGCCCUUAUGGGGAAAGGCUUGCUGCUGAAGGAUCGGCCCGCGUCUGAUUAGCUAGUUGGUGAGGUUAUGGCUCACCAAGGCCGAGAUCAGUAGCUGGUCUGGGAAGAUGAUCAACCACACUGGGGCUGAGGCACGGCCCAGACCGCUACGGGGGGGAGGAGGUGGGAAAACUUGGCCAGGGGGGCAAACCCGGCACAGCCAUGCCGCGUGAGUGAUGACGGCCUUAGGGUUGUAAAGCUCUUUUCUCCGGGACGAUAAUGACGGUACCGGAGGAAUAAGCCCCGGCUAACUUCGUG